This 439-nucleotide ribosomal RNA is filed under the name uncultured Rhodobacter sp. RNAcentral describes it as "bacterial SSU rRNA". It matches the Rfam family "Bacterial small subunit ribosomal RNA", at positions 8 to 491 of the family's 1533-position model. Lineage: Bacteria; Pseudomonadati; Pseudomonadota; Alphaproteobacteria; Rhodobacterales. The record is from RNAcentral.
AGAGUUUGAUCCUGGCUCAGAAUGAACGCUGGCGGCAGGCCUAACACAUGCAAGUCGAACGGGCACCUUCGGGUGCUAGUGGCGGACGGGUGAGUAACGCGUGGGAACAUACCCUUUGGUACGGAAUAGCCUCGGGAAACUGGGAGUAAUACCGUAUGUGCCCUUCGGGGGAAAGAUUUAUCGCCAAAGGAUUGGCCCGCGUUGGAUUAGGUAGUUGGUGGGGUAAUGGCCUACCAAGCCGACGAUCCAUAGCUGGUUUGAGAGGAUGAUCAGCCACACUGGGACUGAGACACGGCCCAGACUCCUACGGGAGGCAGCAGUGGGGAAUCUUAGACAAUGGGGGAAACCCUGAUCUAGCCAUGCCGCGUGAUCGAUGAAGGCCUUAGGGUUGUAAAGAUCUUUCAGUUGGGAAGAUAAUGACGGUACCAACAGAAGAGCC